Molecule: ribosomal RNA, 445 nt
Filed under: uncultured bacterium
Lineage: Bacteria
Description: partial 16S ribosomal RNA
Rfam family: Bacterial small subunit ribosomal RNA
Source: RNAcentral
GUGAGGAAUAUUGGUCAAUGGGCGAGAGCCUGAACCAGCCAAGUCGCGUGAAGGAAGAAGGAUCUAUGGUUCGUAAACUUCUUUUGCAGGGGAAUACAGUGCAGGACGUGUCCUGUUUUGUAUGUACCCUGAGAAUAAGGAUCGGCUAACUCCGUGCCAGCAGCCGCAGUAAUACGGAGGAUCCGAGCGUUAUCCGGAUUCAUUGGGUUUAAAGGGUGCGUAGGUGGUUUGAUAAGUCAGCGGUGAAAGUUUGCAGCUUAACUGUAAAAAUGCCGUUGAAACUGUCGGACUUGAGUGUAAAUGAGGUAUGCGGAAUGCGUGGUGUAGCGGUGAAAUGCAUAGAUAUCACGCAGAACUCCGAUUGCGAAGGCAGCUUACUGGGAUGCAACUGACGCUGAGGCACGAAAGCGUGGGGAUCAAACAGGAUUAGAAACCCUGGUAGUCC